This 407-nucleotide ribosomal RNA is filed under the name uncultured bacterium. RNAcentral describes it as "partial 16S ribosomal RNA". It matches the Rfam family "Bacterial small subunit ribosomal RNA", at positions 30 to 526 of the family's 1533-position model. The record is from RNAcentral.
AUUGAACGCUGGCGGCAGGCCUAACACAUGCAAGUCGAGCGGAGCAGCGGACGGGUAAGUAAUGCCUAGGAAUCUGCCUGGUAGUGGGGGAUAACGUACGGAAACGGGCGCUGAUACCGCAUACUCUCAGAUUAGCCUGGGUCGGCUGAGCUAGUUGGUGGGGUAAAGGCCUACAAAGGCGAAGAUCCGUAACUGGUCUGAGAGGAUGAUCAGUCACACUGGAACUGAGACACGGGCCAGACGCCUACGGGAGGCAGCAGUGGGGAAUAUUGGACAAGGGGCGAAAGCCUGAUCCAGCCAUGCCGCGUGUGUGAAGAAGGUCUUCGGAUUGUAAAGCACUUUAAGUUGGGAGGCGUUACCAACAGAAGAAGCACCGGCUAACUUCGUGCCAGCAGCCGCGGUAAUUC